Bacillus rossius redtenbacheri is the source of this 581-nucleotide long non-coding RNA. RefSeq lists it as uncharacterized. NCBI's taxonomy places the organism in Eukaryota, Metazoa, Arthropoda, Insecta, Phasmatodea, Bacillidae. The record is from RefSeq and is a predicted model, not a curated record. The transcript has 5 exons.
AUUAUCUCUGUGUCUUUGACAAAAUGAAAUGUGUCAUUUUGGCGCUUCUGUAUCAAAAUAUAAACAAUUUUGGUUAAUUGAAUUUCUGUUGGUUAAUGUGAAACAAUAAUUAGAGUGUGACUUUGUGUGGUUAAAUAAGUAAAACUUUUUAAUAUUAUUUGACAGAAGGAGGACUUUUAUAAGGAGAAAUGAGAGCUGUGGAUCUAUCUGAUGCAGAGCUAAUGCAGGCGCUGCGCAAAAAUGACGUUAAUACCGGCCCCAUUGUUGACUCCACACGACAUCUGUAUCGAAGAAAGCUCUGCAGAGUCCUUGGCAUAGAGGAAGAUGAAGAUGUGGAUCCAAAUCUAUUUUUAAGUGAUCUGUCUGAACACGCUGAAGAACACCGAUUCGUGCCUGCACGUGAUCGAAUGGCUGUAGAACAUAAGACUGCUACUGGAGGACUUUUGAUGUUUUAUGGACUGUCUGCUCUCUCUGUUCUCUUUAUUUGUUGGUAUUACUUAAUGUAAAGUUUCUUUGUUUAAUACCAUUUAUAGUUUUUUGAUAAUUUUAUUUUCAUGGUAGAAUAAAGUCUUUUUGUCAAA